Molecule: ribosomal RNA, 540 nt
Filed under: Bifidobacterium adolescentis JCM 15918
Lineage: Bacteria; Bacillati; Actinomycetota; Actinomycetes; Bifidobacteriales; Bifidobacteriaceae
Description: bacterial SSU rRNA
Rfam family: Bacterial small subunit ribosomal RNA
Source: RNAcentral
GUGGUAAUGCCGGAUGCUCCGACAUGACGCAUGUCGUGUCGGGAAAGAUUCAUCGGUAUGGGAUGGGGUCGCGUCCUAUCAGCUUGAUGGCGGGGUAACGGCCCACCAUGGCUUCGACGGGUAGCCGGCCUGAGAGGGCGACCGGCCACAUUGGGACUGAGAUACGGCCCAGACUCCUACGGGAGGCAGCAGUGGGGAAUAUUGCACAAUGGGCGCAAGCCUGAUGCAGCGACGCCGCGUGCGGGAUGACGGCCUUCGGGUUGUAAACCGCUUUUGACUGGGAGCAAGCCCUUCGGGGUGAGUGUACCUUUCGAAUAAGCACCGGCUAACUACGUGCCAGCAGCCGCGGUAAUACGUAGGGUGCAAGCGUUAUCCGGAAUUAUUGGGCGUAAAGGGCUCGUAGGCGGUUCGUCGCGUCCGGUGUGAAAGUCCAUCGCUUAACGGUGGAUCCGCGCCGGGUACGGGCGGGCUUGAGUGCGGUAGGGGAGACUGGAAUUCCCGGUGUAACGGUGGAAUGUGUAGAUAUCGGAAAAGAACACC